RNAcentral lists this long non-coding RNA (207 nucleotides) under Bos mutus (wild yak). RNAcentral describes it as "lncRNA (ENSBMUG00000018489.1)". The record is from RNAcentral. Lineage: Eukaryota; Metazoa; Chordata; Mammalia; Artiodactyla; Bovidae.
GGGAGCAGUCAGCACGAGGAGGUGGGUACGGGGAGAAGACGAGAGACGAGGAGGGAGGCAGCAAACGGAAAGGAAGGGAGUGAGCCCAGACAGAGGAUCCAGCUGGAACAAUGACGGGGGCCUGCCCAGCCAGCCCCAGCUGCUUCCUUUUCAGUGGCCCUGUGCCCCCUGCCAGAUCCUGCCUGGGGGAACUGGAGUCUGGGUCCA